UCAUCUUAUUUAAGAGGUAGAAAUGGAUGAGGCAAAUUUAGACAAUAUUUCAGACUGACUCCAGCUCAGUUCUCUGAUGUUCUAUCAUUCAAUGAACAAGAUGUUAAGAAGCAAUUAGGCACCAACUACAAGACAUCCAUCAGUUCACGGUGAAAGACAGUGAGUGAGUGAGGAAGAGUUGAGUCAGGCCAGUGCUGUCAAAAAAAAAAAAAAAAAAAAAAAAGUAUGCCUCUGGAGACGAAAGCACAAAGGCGGGAGUCCCAACGACAAUGAGUCACCGAUACUAUGGCCAGGAAAAUCGCCUGGCCGGCGAUCUUGGAAUUGGCGCGCGUGGUGUGGAUGGCAUGUGCCCCAAGUUUUGCAUCCGGUGUGAACACUCCUAUUGGAAAUACACUGAAGCGAUUUUAAAAGCCACACAACUUCGCGCCUCGUGCGUCGCGUGCGUCGUCUCUGGUGUGAAAUGGCCGUAUGUGCACGUAGUGUGUUCGUUCAGAGGUGGGAAAAUGACAGCGCGCCCAACGAGUAUGGAUAAGUAUUUAUAUUCGUUGAGCGCGCCCUUUUGUUCAAACGCGUGCGCAAAGAAUGUCACACUUCCUUGGUCUGCGCACAGAAGAGCGCCCUCUGUAGUGACUGGCUGCCACGUGGCACAGGUCCUCUGCUCGAUCCUGCCAGGAAAGUUAACGGACUCCAGCUUUAUCUGUGCUGUUCCGAAAGUCUUCUGCCGAACUCAUCACCCUGAAAGUUACCAGCUUUAGUGUGUCCUGCUGGCUUCCCCUGCAUCCUCUUGAAGAGGGAAUGCCCGCUGUCAUAGCAGGCAAGACAUUACCUGCUGCGCUGCCUCAUCAGUGAACACGGGACUUCACUUAGCGGGCUGCAGUGGCAUGGCGGCGCCCCGCUCACCACACAUCCAGACGGCGGUGAAUGAAGACGUCACUGCAGUGUGCUAUGCGCCCGGAAAGGGGAGAGAGAGAGAGGAGGAAGAUGGUGAUGUGUUCUGCAAGUCAGGAUGAGAAGCACAUCUGACCACCUGUGUGUGUGUAUCAUCAUGGAUCCCUUGUGUUCAGUGAUAAAGGAACCAAUUAACUAUUGCACAAAAUGUGGGAGAUACACGCAAGAGAAUGUGACACGGCUGGUAUCUAAGGCUACAUGUGACAAGGUUGUAUAGAGCACAGAAAGCUGCACAGGCUACAGCUCCUUAACACAACAAUUGUUAAGUACUCAUUUUUGUCACCUAUGCAUUAAGGAAAUAACAAAUUCAUUGUAAAUUAAUUCCUGCAAAAAGCUUUUUUAUGAACCCUGGACACUUUAGUAAAAAUUGUGAGAUC
This is a long non-coding RNA of Portunus trituberculatus (swimming crab), 1325 nucleotides long. RefSeq lists it as uncharacterized. The record is from RefSeq and is a predicted model, not a curated record. Lineage: Eukaryota; Metazoa; Arthropoda; Malacostraca; Decapoda; Portunidae. The transcript is spliced from 3 exons.